CCGAUACAAUGAUGAUAACAUAGUUCAGCAGAAUACACAGUGAUGAACACAACUUUGUCUUUCGCUCCUAUCUGAUGUAUCUG
Small nucleolar RNA from Chelonoidis abingdonii (Abingdon island giant tortoise), 83 nucleotides. The record is from Ensembl. NCBI's taxonomy places the organism in Eukaryota, Metazoa, Chordata, Testudines, Testudinidae.